CGUAAAGCGCGCGCAGGUGGUUUCUUAUGUCUGAUGUGAAAGCCCACGGCUCUACCCGUGGAGGGUCAUUGGAAACUGGGAGACUUGAGUGCCGAAGAAGAAAGUGGAAUUCCAUGUGUAGCGGUGAAAUGCGUAAAGAUAUGGAGGAACACCAGUGGGCGAAGGCCACUUUCCGGUCUGUAACUGACACUGAGGCGCGAAAGCGUGGGGAGCAAAC
Molecule: ribosomal RNA, 217 nt
Filed under: Acidithiobacillus thiooxidans
Lineage: Bacteria; Pseudomonadati; Pseudomonadota; Acidithiobacillia; Acidithiobacillales; Acidithiobacillaceae
Description: partial 16S ribosomal RNA
Rfam family: Bacterial small subunit ribosomal RNA
Source: RNAcentral